Molecule: ribosomal RNA, 253 nt
Filed under: uncultured bacterium
Lineage: Bacteria
Description: partial 16S ribosomal RNA
Rfam family: Bacterial small subunit ribosomal RNA
Source: RNAcentral
UACGGGGGGGGCAAGCGUUGUUCGGAAUUACUGGGCGUAAAGGGCUCGUAGGCGGCCACCUAAGUCGGAUGUGAAAUCCCCAGGCUCAACCUGGGAACUGCAUCCGAUACUGGAUGGCUUGAAUUCGGGAGAGGGAUGCAGAAUUCCAGGUGUAGCGGUGAAAUGCGUAGAUAUCUGGAGGAAUACCGGUGGCGAAGGCGGCAUCCUGGACCGACAUUGACGCUGAGGAGCGAAAGCCAGGGGAGCAAACGGG